GGGGUUGUGGCUCAGCGGUAGAGCGCUCGCCUAGCACGUGCGAGUUCCAGGGUUCGAUCCUUAGCACCA
RNAcentral lists this transfer RNA (69 nucleotides) under Ictidomys tridecemlineatus (thirteen-lined ground squirrel). RNAcentral's name for it is "Spermophilus tridecemlineatus (thirteen-lined ground squirrel) tRNA". It matches the Rfam family "tRNA". From Rfam's summary of the family: Transfer RNA (tRNA) molecules are approximately 80 nucleotides in length. Their secondary structure includes four short double-helical elements and three loops (D, anti-codon, and T loops). The record is from Rfam by way of RNAcentral. Lineage: Eukaryota; Metazoa; Chordata; Mammalia; Rodentia; Sciuridae.